GUGUUACAAUUCCCAUCGCUCUAAUUGCAUUUUUGAAAGAAUUAUGCCCUAUUCAUACUUAAAUUUUUUGAGCAAUCUUCGUUUUCUUGAUGUUACUUUAGUACAAUAUAAGAUAAAGACUUGAAACUAAAAAUGUAUCUUUAUCAUCAUCAUCUGCAGGAGUGGUGACAAUCCCCAUAUCUCUGAUUUUUCUUGCAUAUACCAGACGGGGAUUUCUCGUAUAUUUACCAGUGCUGGAAAAAUGCUGUAAAUGACGUAUAACGAACUACAUAUAUGUAGAAGAUUUAUGUAGUAAUUUAUAUUUUAUUUUAAAAAUGGAAUAAAAAUUCAAUACCUUGACAAUUCCUAUUGGUUCCUGAUAGUAUAUUUCUCGGUUCAAAUCACGUUAUUUUAUCAAAAAUUCAUAACGUAACGCUGUAACUGAUAAAACAAAAGCGGAACUAAACACCCAGUAAACACCUGACGUCGUACCGACGUUGGUUAGACGUUGGAUUUUGGUCGCGACGUCGGCGACCUGAAUCCAACGUCUAACCAACGUCAUAUCCACGACGUCUAAUAGACGUCAGACUUAGACGUCUAGAAGACGUUGGAAUUAGGUUGGAUAGAAAGUCUGAUAAAUGUUUUUAGUUAUUAAACUAACUGGUAUAAUUUUGCUAGUAUAGUUUAAAGAUAUUUACUUGUUUGCCUGGACAUGCGCUUAUUAUUAAUAGUUCAUUCUCACAACAAACAUUAUAUUAAUUAUGUUACAAUAUCGCAUGGGAUUGUCUAUUUUCGGAGACGGAUUUUUUCACGAACUUUAAACUGUUCAAGAUAAAAAUGCAUUCUAAACACAUGUAUAAAUUAUUCUAAAUUCACAUAGAUCUUCUCUUCUACACAUGUUGUCUAUUAGUCACACAUUCGCGAGAUAAGCCUGCAUCGGUUUACACAGUCUUCCUGUAAUUUGAUAUUUAUAUUGGGAUAAGAUAGAGCAAGUUUAUAAAUACUUUACACAAAGGGAAGGAUCCGCAACGUGGAAAUGUUGGCGGAGUUGAAGAAUCAUACAAAAAUGACGAAACUUGAAAGUUUCAAUUACUGCAUUACUUUUUGGACUUAUUGUAUUAGACUUACGUCGCCAUAAUAUGAAAUAAAGAUGAUAAAAUACA
Long non-coding RNA from Mercenaria mercenaria, 1142 nucleotides. RefSeq lists it as uncharacterized. The transcript has 2 exons. Lineage: Eukaryota; Metazoa; Mollusca; Bivalvia; Venerida; Veneridae. The record is from RefSeq and is a predicted model, not a curated record.